UUUAUUACUAUGAAGAGUUUGAUCCUGGCUCAGGAUGAACGCUAGCGACAGGCUUAACACAUGCAAGUCGAGGGGCAUCAUGAGGUAGCAAUACCUUGAUGGCGACCGGCGCACGGGUGAGUAACGCGUAUGCAACCUGCCUGAUACCGGGGUAUAGC
Molecule: ribosomal RNA, 158 nt
Filed under: Odoribacter splanchnicus
Lineage: Bacteria; Pseudomonadati; Bacteroidota; Bacteroidia; Bacteroidales; Odoribacteraceae
Description: partial 16S ribosomal RNA
Rfam family: Bacterial small subunit ribosomal RNA
Source: RNAcentral